This 117-nucleotide ribosomal RNA is filed under the name Sphenodon punctatus (tuatara). Lineage: Eukaryota; Metazoa; Chordata; Lepidosauria; Sphenodontia; Sphenodontidae. The record is from RNAcentral.
UCCUACGCCCACACUGGACUGAAUGCACCUGAUCCCAUCCAAUCUCGAAAACUAAGCAGUCCCAGGCCCGGGUAGUACUUGGAUGGGAUCAUAGGAGACAAUUUUACAAAGUAAGCC